CGGGGCGUAGCGCAGUUGGGAGCGCGCCUGUUUCGGGUACAGGAGGUCGAAGGUUCGAGCCCUUUCGCCCCGACCA
RNAcentral lists this transfer RNA (76 nucleotides) under bacterium. RNAcentral describes it as "tRNA-Pro". It matches the Rfam family "tRNA". From Rfam's summary of the family: Transfer RNA (tRNA) molecules are approximately 80 nucleotides in length. Their secondary structure includes four short double-helical elements and three loops (D, anti-codon, and T loops). The record is from RNAcentral. RNAcentral also lists the same sequence under 1 other name.